Molecule: long non-coding RNA, 901 nt
Filed under: Daphnia pulicaria
Lineage: Eukaryota; Metazoa; Arthropoda; Branchiopoda; Diplostraca; Daphniidae
Description: uncharacterized LOC124335779, transcript variant X2
Source: RNAcentral
GUUAGUUGCUGUUAGUUGAAGCGUGGGUUUCGAGAACAUGGUAGACUAAUGUUGGAGCUACAGAGAUGGAAACCACGCUGCCCACCACGUAAAUUUAAUUUGUAAAAUGUUCUUAAUGGCACCUUUUACAACACGGAACUUCACUUCAGCCAUCCAAUCAAGUUCUUGCAUCCAAUUGUGCAGCCUGCACGGAAUUUUCAGUUAGCUCUGCUGUGAAUGUGGAUUAACAUGCCCACUUAUUGAAGGCCAAUCAGAUGAAUAUUGAAGCUAGCAGAUUUGGAAACCAUACCAUACUGUCCACCACAUCCAGAUUCCAGAAGCUGAAUAACAUCUAACAUAUACAACUUUCUUAAAGGCACCUUUUAAAGUAUUGAACUUCACUGUAGCCAACUACUCGCUUGCAUCCAAUUGUGCAGACCUGUGCUGUGAAUGUAAAUAACAUGUGCACUACACUAAGGGUUUUGUUCCUGUUCUUGCUGCCCAAUGUGGUGUGAUGUUGCAGCUAUGCUGGUGAAAGACUUAAAGUUAAACUGUGGCUGCUCCUUGGUGCUGGUGUCCAGUUGCGGAAGUUGCAAUCAUAUUUUUAUAUUCAAUCAUAUUUUGUCUAUUAUUGUUGUCAUGUUUAAAAAGAAAUAGAAAUGUGGGGGUUUAUGUCGACAACAAAAAAAAACAUUUUCGCGUUGUUUAAGCAACGAGAGGGAAGUUGGGGUGAGGGACUUGUCAUAUUUUAAAAGUUUUUGGUAUUAUUAUUCAUUUUUUCUGACGUAGUACAUAAGGAUAUAAGCUUCAUAACUUAUAACCAUACCACAAUCCCAAUACCUGACCACUAUCCAUACCUUAUACUCCACGACCUAUAACCAUACCACCCAUAAACCUAACACCAUCCGACUUGUAUAUCCAU